This 468-nucleotide ribosomal RNA is filed under the name uncultured bacterium. Its description in RNAcentral is "partial 16S ribosomal RNA". It matches the Rfam family "Bacterial small subunit ribosomal RNA", at positions 28 to 507 of the family's 1533-position model. The record is from RNAcentral.
GACGAACGCUGGCGGCGUGCUUAACACAUGCAAGUCGAACGGAAGGGCCCUGCUUUUGUGGGGUGCUCGAGUGGCGAACGGGUGAGUAACACGUGAGUAACCUGCCCUUGACUUUGGGAUAACUUCAGGAAACUGGGGCUAAUACCGGAUAGGAGCUCCUGCUGCAUGGUGGGGGUUGGAAAGUUUCGGCGGUUGGGGAUGGACUCGCGGCUUAUCAGCUUGUUGGUGGGGUAGUGGCUUACCAAGGCUUUGACGGGUAGCCGGCCUGAGAGGGUGACCGGCCACAUUGGGACUGAGAUACGGCCCAGACUCCUACGGGAGGCAGCAGUGGGGAAUAUUGCACAAUGGGCGGAAGCCUGAUGCAGCAACGCCGCGUGCGGGAUGACGGCCUUCGGGUUGUAAACCGCUUUCGCCUGUGACGAAGCGUGAGUGGCGGUAAUGGGUAAAGAAGCACCGGCUAACUACGUG